Molecule: long non-coding RNA, 782 nt
Filed under: Pogona vitticeps (central bearded dragon)
Lineage: Eukaryota; Metazoa; Chordata; Lepidosauria; Squamata; Agamidae
Description: lncRNA (ENSPVIG00000023797.1)
Source: RNAcentral
AUGCAGCAGAUAUUGGCAGGGAAGAAUGGUAUUUCUGCAUAUGCUGCAUGGAGGUUUCUGAAGAUGGCCUUCAGCUAUGAGGAAUGGGAUGCAUUUGAUCAUGCAACUCUUCUGUUUUUUUCUUUUCUUCAGAGUCAAAAUAAUCAAGCAUGGAAGAAAGCAGAAGCUGAACUCAAAAUACUUAUAGUAAUGCAGCCUCUACUAUCUACUAGGAAACCAAGGCAUGGUUUGUGUGUUCAAGGAAAUAAUAUCCGAGAAGCAAUUGUUUUCCGUAGUCCAGGGAAAAAAUCCAUUGCGUUUCAAGGUAUGUUAUAGUUGUUUACAGUUAUAAGAUGCAAUAAUUUAUUUGAGUUAAUGGUUGCAUAUGGAGUUUUACAGGAAAUAGAGAAAGUAAAAAUAAUAUUAGUCUACUGCUUGGCAGUCUACAAAAUGUAACUAAUACCAUUACCUGGUCAAUAUUUGCUGUGAUGUAACAGGUUACAGUGCCUUUGCAUGCACUGCUGCUGUAAUAGGCCAUGUGAAGUUCUACUGCUGCUGCAAUGUAAAAGUUUUUUUGUUUUGUUUUGUUGUUUGCUGUGAUGUAACAGGUUACAGUGCCUGUACGCUCCCUUUGCAUGCACUGCUGCUGUAAUAGGCUAUGUGAAAUUCUUCUGCUGCUGUAAUGUAAAAGUUUUUUGUUUUGUUAUGUUAUUGUUAUUUCAAAGGGAUAGGCACUUUAGUCGGCAGAAGCAAAGACAACAUCGUCAUAUGACACCUUAAAGACUGGCAAGUUUUGUUUGGCA